UACGUAGGGUGCGAGCGUUAAUCGGAAUUACUGGGCGUAAAGCGUGCGCAGGCGGUUUUGUAAGCCAGGUGUGAAAUCCCCGGGCUCAACCUGGGAAUGGCAUUUGGGGACUGCAAGGCUGGAGUGCGGCAGAGGAGACUGGAAUUCCUGGUGUAGCAGUGAAAUGCGUAGAUAUCAGGAGGAACACCGAUGGCGAAGGCAGGUCUCUGGGCUGACACUGACGCUCAUGCACGAAAGCGUGGGGAGCAAACAGG
Molecule: ribosomal RNA, 254 nt
Filed under: uncultured bacterium
Lineage: Bacteria
Description: partial 16S ribosomal RNA
Rfam family: Bacterial small subunit ribosomal RNA
Source: RNAcentral